Molecule: long non-coding RNA, 858 nt
Filed under: Rattus norvegicus (Norway rat)
Lineage: Eukaryota; Metazoa; Chordata; Mammalia; Rodentia; Muridae
Description: long non-coding RNA NONRATT016072
Source: RNAcentral
CUAUCUGAAAGGCACUCAACUAGAUGUGCUCAGAUUUUCUUAGCUCUAAACAUUUGUUUCAUUUGUUUUCAUGUUUCAGUUCCUUAUAAUGACUCUUUAAUAGAGGGAAAGUAUCUUUAAACAUACGUCGUACAAAUAGCUGUCUGUUUUUGUUAAAUUAACACUUAAUACUGGUUUCUAUAUGGUUAUAUUGUUUUUUUCAUAAAGCUUUAAAUUUCUUGGAACAUUCAUAUUAAACCAGAACCAUUCAUAAUUAUCAAAAGCUUUGAAACAGGAGCUGGAGGUAUAUAGCUCAAUUGUUAGAAGCACUUGCUGAUCUUCCAGAAGAUCUAAGUUUGAUUACCAGGACCCACAUGAGACAGUUCAUAAACCAGCUGUGUUUCCAGUUCAAAUGGAUUCAACAUCCUCUGUUGGCCUCAUCAGGUGCCUGUACACAUCCGGCACACACUGGUACAGACAUAAAACAGUAUUCCUGUAAUACCUGAGAACCAGUCAUAGUAACUUCAGAAAUAAUAAAACAUAAGUGGUAUACCAAAUAUUUGAUUUUUGUACCCCAUAUGUUUAUUGAAAAAUUAAAGUUUAGAAGAUAAUAUAAAAAUUUAGAAAAUUCUAAAUAAUCAUGCUAAUUUCAUUCAUUAAAAAAAACUUUUUACCCCCUCCCCCAGUUCUAGAGUUUGAAAGAGUCUACCUUGAAAAUCUCCCCAGUGCAUCCAUGUAUGAGCGCAGUUACAUGCACCGAGAUGUUAUCACACAUGUGGUGUGCACCAAAACAGAUUUUAUUAUCACUGCCAGUCAUGAUGGGCAUGUCAAAUUUUGGAAAAAAAUAGAAGAAGGAAUUGAGUUUGUUAAACAUUUUCG